RNAcentral lists this non-coding RNA (138 nucleotides) under Marininema mesophilum. Lineage: Bacteria; Bacillati; Bacillota; Bacilli; Caryophanales; Thermoactinomycetaceae. The record is from RNAcentral.
UAGCUGGUGGAAGUUCAGUCAAGGUAACAGCCAAAUGGCCUUGUAGCUGACGGAAAGCUGGUGGAGAAAUCCUAAGGCUGAAGCUCCGUGACAAAGUGACUCGAAAGAGUUGCGAACACUCAUCAGACCGUAAUAUGA